Molecule: ribosomal RNA, 289 nt
Filed under: Conus lividus
Lineage: Eukaryota; Metazoa; Mollusca; Gastropoda; Neogastropoda; Conidae
Description: partial 12S ribosomal RNA
Source: RNAcentral
ACCUCUCAGGGGAACCUGUCUCAUAAUCGACAAUCCGCGUUAAACCUAACCCUCUAUGGCAAUACAGCCUGUAUACCGUCGUCGUCAGGUAACUUCUUAAAAUAUAUUAGUUAGCUCGAGAAUAUUAUUAAUUGAAACGUCAGAUCAAGGUGCAGCUAAUAAGAAGGUGAGGAUGGGUUACAAUUACAAAUUUGUAAUUAUGGAAAGGUACUUGAAACUUAAUACCAUGAAAGAGGACUUGAAAGUAAUUUUAAGUAUAUAAAUAAAAUGAAUAAGGCUCUGAAACGUG